This 315-nucleotide ribosomal RNA is filed under the name uncultured bacterium. Its description in RNAcentral is "bacterial SSU rRNA". It matches the Rfam family "Bacterial small subunit ribosomal RNA", at positions 28 to 334 of the family's 1533-position model. The record is from RNAcentral.
GACGAACGCUGACGGCGUGCUUAACACAUGCAAGUCGAACGGGAUCCAUUAGCGCUUUUGUGUUUUUGGUGAGAGUGGCGAACGGGUGAGUAACACGUGAGUAACCUGCCCUUUUCUUUGGGAUAAGCCUGGGAAACUGGGUCUAAUACUGAAUGUUCCGGCUUCCUCGCAUGGGGUUGUUGGGAAAGGUUUUUUCUGGAUUGGGAUGGGCUCGCGGCUUAUCAGCUUGUUGGUGGGGUGAUGGCUUACCAAGGCUUUGACGGGUAGCCGGCCUGAGAGGGUGGUCGGUCACACUGGGACUGAGAUACGGCCCAG